This 257-nucleotide non-coding RNA is filed under the name Enterococcus faecium. RNAcentral's name for it is "T-box sequence". It matches the Rfam family "T-box leader". Rfam says of the family: Uncharged tRNA acts as the effector for transcription antitermination of genes in the T-box leader family. T-boxes are found upstream of many aminoacyl-tRNA synthetase genes and some amino acid biosynthetic genes usually in Gram-positive bacteria. The record is from RNAcentral. Lineage: Bacteria; Bacillati; Bacillota; Bacilli; Lactobacillales; Enterococcaceae.
GAGAAAGCUUUGAAAAGAAGAGUACAUGUCACGGACGUUUGAAGAGAGCCCUGUUUGCUGAAAAUGGGUAACGAAAAUGAGAUGGAAGAUGGUCUUAGAGCAGAGUAAGCGAGCGUAAGCAAACUUACUACGGGAGUGCCCGUUACAGCGCGACAGUAUACGGAAAGAAGCUAAGUCCAAGUACUGGAAGAGGCUGUUAUUGCGAAGUAACGGUAAAUCAAGGUGGUAACACGGAAGUUCAAGCUUUCGUCCUUUUG